Molecule: small nuclear RNA, 163 nt
Organism: Molossus molossus (Pallas's mastiff bat)
Lineage: Eukaryota; Metazoa; Chordata; Mammalia; Chiroptera; Molossidae
Product: U1 spliceosomal RNA
Exons: 1
Source: RefSeq, a predicted model, not a curated record
GCACGUACCUGGCAGGGGAGAUACCAUGAUCACAAAGGUGGUUUUCCCCGGGCGAGGCUCAUCCAUCGCUCUCGGGAUAUGCUGACCCCUUUGAUUUCCCUAAAUGGGGGAACUCGACUGCACAAUUUGUGGUAGUGAAGGACUAUGUUCUUACUCUCCCCUA